This 484-nucleotide ribosomal RNA is filed under the name uncultured bacterium. Its description in RNAcentral is "partial 16S ribosomal RNA". It matches the Rfam family "Bacterial small subunit ribosomal RNA", at positions 29 to 507 of the family's 1533-position model. The record is from RNAcentral.
AUUGAACGCUGGCGGCAUGCUUUACACAUGCAAGUCGAGCGGCAGCGCGGGCUUCGGCCUGGCGGCGAGUGGCGAACGGGUGAGUAAUACAUCGGAACGUGCCCAGUAGUGGGGGAUAGCUCGGCGAAAGCCGGAUUAAUACCGCAUACGACCUGAGGGUGAAAGCGGGGGAUCUUCGGACCUCGCGCUAUUGGAGCGGCCGAUGGCAGAUUAGCUAGUUGGUGGGGUAAAGGCCUACCAAGGCGACGAUCUGUAGCUGGUCUGAGAGGACGACCAGCCACACUGGGACUGAGACACGGCCCAGACUCCUACGGGAGGCAGCAGUGGGGAAUUUUGGACAAUGGGCGAAAGCCUGAUCCAGCAAUGCCGCGUGUGUGAUGAAGGCCUUCGGGUUGUAAAGCACUUUUGGCGGGAACGAAAAGGACUGUGCCAAUACCACGGUUCGAUGACGGUACCCGCAGAUUAAGCACCGGCUAACUACGUG